CUUCCAGGAAAAGCCUCUAAGCUUCAGAUAGUCAGGAAUCGUACCCCAAACCGACACAGGUGGUCGGGUAGAGAAUACCAAGGCGCUUGAGAGAACUCGGGUGAAGGAACUAGGCAAAAUGGUACCGUAACUUCGGGAGAAGGUACGCUCUUGAUGGUGAAGUCCCUCGCGGAUGGAGCUGACGAGAGUCGCAGAUACCAGGUGGCUGCAACUGUUUAUUAAAAACACAGCACUGUGCAAAAUCGCAAGAUGACGUAUACGGUGUGACGCCUGCCCGGUGCCGGAAGGUUAAUUGAUGGGGUUAGCGCAAGCGAAGCUCUUGAUCGAAGCCCCGGUAAACGGCGGCCGUAACUAUAACGGUCCUAAGGUAGCGAAAUUCCUUGUCGGGUAAGUUCCGACCUGCACGAAUGGCGUAAUGAUGGCCACGCUGUCUCCACCCGAGACUCAGUGAAAUUGAAAUCGCUGUGAAGAUGCAGUGUACCCGCGGCUAGACGGAAAGACCCCGUGAACCUUUACUACAGCUUGGCACUGAACAUUGAACCUACAUGUGUAGGAUAGGUGGGAGGCUAUGAAGACGUGACGCCAGUUGCGUUGGAGCCGUCCUUGAAAUACCACCCUUGUAUGUUUGAUGUUCUAACUUAGACCCGUUAUCCGGGUUGAGGACAGUGCCUGGUGGGUAGUUUGACUGGGGCGGUCUCCUCCCAAAGAGUAACGGAGGAGCACGAAGGUGGGCUAAUCACGGUUGGACAUCGUGAGGUUAGUGCAAUGGCAUAAGCCCGCUUAACUGCGAGAAUGACGGUUCGAGCAGGUGCGAAAGCAGGUCAUAGUGAUCCGGUGGUUCUGUAUGGAAGGGCCAUCGCUCAACGGAUAAAAGGUACUCCGGGGAUAACAGGCUGAUACCGCCCAAGAGUUCAUAUCGACGGCGGUGUUUGGCACCUCGAUGUCGGCUCAUCACAUCCUGGGGCUGAAGUCGGUCCCAAGGGUAUGGCUGUUCGCCAUUUAAAGUGGUACGCGAGCUGGGUUUAGAACGUCGUGAGACAGUUCGGUCCCUAUCUGCCGUGGGCGUUGGAAGAUUGAAGGGGGCUGCUCCUAGUACGAGAGGACCGGAGUGGACGAACCUCUGGUGUUCGGGUUGUGUCGCCAGACGCAUUGCCCGGUAGCUAAGUUCGGAAUUGAUAAGCGCUGAAAGCAUCUAAGCGCGAAGCGAGCCCUGAGAUGAGUCUUCCCUGACAGUUUAACUGUCCUAAAGGGUUGUUCGAGACUAGAACGUUGAUAGGCAGGGUGUGUAAGCGUUGUGAGGCGUUGAGCUAACCUGUACUAAUUGCCCGUGAGGCUUAACCAU
Molecule: ribosomal RNA, 1342 nt
Filed under: Vibrio cholerae
Lineage: Bacteria; Pseudomonadati; Pseudomonadota; Gammaproteobacteria; Vibrionales; Vibrionaceae
Description: partial 23S ribosomal RNA
Rfam family: Bacterial large subunit ribosomal RNA
Source: RNAcentral